This is a non-coding RNA of Danio rerio (zebrafish), 1205 nucleotides long. The record is from RefSeq and is a predicted model, not a curated record. NCBI's taxonomy places the organism in Eukaryota, Metazoa, Chordata, Actinopteri, Cypriniformes, Danionidae.
AUAAAAACAUUUAGUGUGGAUGGUCGCAAUGUUUAGAUGCAAACAAAACAAUAUUAUUUAUAAAUGGAUUAUAUAUAUCAUCUAGGGAAAACAGUGUAAAAUGCGCUUAUUUUCGAGAUAGCACACUUCCAUGCAGACUGUUUUUUUAAGCAGAAGUUUGGUUUCAUAAGAAACACAUGCGUGAGUCAACUCUUGGUCCAAACUCCAAUCCAGACGGUGGCGGUAAUGUUCCAAAAGCUGGUUGCCAACCGCUAUGAUGAUCACAAGAAGAAAAAGAAGUUUGGCGUUUCAAAACAGUGGAUUCCGGUCAGAAAGACACACAUGAGGAAGCUCGACUCAGCUUGGCUUGCAGACAGAUGAGGACGGUGAUUGCCCGUCAUACACCUAAAGAAAGAACAGGGGCAUUAAAGACACAACUAUAGUGAACGUGAUGAAGAAAAAUUAUUUGGAACAAAGAGGCUGGAGAAAAAACUGAUAUGAAGAUUUCAGAAAUUGAUGCAGCACCGCAAGUACCAUCACCACCAAUGACUAUGGCAGGAUCCUUAAGAACACCAUCAAGAUGCACAGAUGCUGUACAUUCCAGUACACCUAUGAACAUUUACAGUCCUUGUUCAAGUGCAGUCGGAGAUCAAGACAACUUAUUGCAACUCGUCAUGUCUUUCACGACUGAAAAAAAGUUUUAAAAUCAUGUGACGUCAUAAAGCAGCAACUGUGCCUGAUUCUCACAAAUCAGCAAAACCAAAACAGACGUGAUGAAAUUCCAGAUGUAAACACAUUUGACCUUUCUUUGUCCAAUUUGAUUUGGAAAAACUUGAAAAUCAACUAAACGAGCAGCCCGAACAAAUGAAGAAACUGGUAGCCUACUUUGGAAUCAUUGGUGUUUUCCACUAAGCAGUUUGGUGUGUCCCGGGAAAGCUUUUGGCUCACUUUUUGGCUGAACAAAUUAACUGGAGCAGGGCAAACCAAAAUGUGGCCUUUCAUGCACUCUCCCUUACGACUGUCUAGUCAAUGUAGUGAGGAGAAAUGUCCAUACCACAUCACUGAUAAAGAAGUGGAAAAAUGCAUUACAAGGUGGCUACAACGUGCUCCUGACAGGGCUGGAGGAAGGAGGGAAGAAGAGAAAGCUAAUGUGUCAAAUGUCUACAUCAAUAAUUUAUUUUUUAAACAACAUUUUAAGUGUAUUAAGAUGUUCCCUGAUACUUGGG